UACAGAGGGUGCGAGCGUUAAUCGGAAUUACUGGGCGUAAAGCGCGCGUAGGCGGCUUUGCAAGUCGGGUGUGAAAUCCCCAGGCUUAACCUGGGAACUGCAUUCGAGACUGCAUUGCUAGAGUAUGGGAGAGGGAAGUGGAAUUUCCGGUGUAGCGGUGAAAUGCGUAGAUAUCUGGAGGAACACCGGUGGCGAAGGCGGCAUCCUGGACCAUUACUGACGCUGAUGAGCGAAAGCCAGGGGAGCAAACGGG
RNAcentral lists this ribosomal RNA (253 nucleotides) under uncultured bacterium. RNAcentral's name for it is "partial 16S ribosomal RNA". It matches the Rfam family "Bacterial small subunit ribosomal RNA", at positions 524 to 776 of the family's 1533-position model. The record is from RNAcentral.